RNAcentral lists this ribosomal RNA (441 nucleotides) under uncultured bacterium. RNAcentral's name for it is "partial 16S ribosomal RNA". It matches the Rfam family "Bacterial small subunit ribosomal RNA", at positions 338 to 795 of the family's 1533-position model. The record is from RNAcentral.
CCUACGGGAGGCAGCAGUGGGGGAUAUUGCACAAUGGGGGGAACCCUGAUGCAGCGACGCCGCGUGGGUGAAGGAGUGCUUCGGCAUGUAAAGCCCUAUCGGCAGGGAAGAAGCAAGACGGUACCUGACUAAGAAGCCCCGGCUAAUUACGUGCCAGCAGCCGCGGUAAUACGUAGGGGACGAGCUUUAUCCGGAUUCACUGGGGGUAAAGGGAGCGUAGAUGGGCAUGCAAGCUAGGGGUGAAAGCCCGGGGAACAACCCCGGUUCUGCCCUUGAAACUGGCUGGCUGGAGGACGGGAGGGGCAGGCGGAAUUCCUGGUGUAGCGGUGAAAUGCGUAGAUAUCAGGAGGAACACCGGCGGCGAAGGCGGCCUGCUGGACUGCGACUGACGUUGAGGCUCGAAAGCGUGGGGAGCGAACAGGAUUAGAUACCCCAGUAGUC